This 633-nucleotide ribosomal RNA is filed under the name Scrippsiella cf. erinaceus. RNAcentral's name for it is "LSU rRNA". It matches the Rfam family "Eukaryotic large subunit ribosomal RNA", at positions 37 to 659 of the family's 3401-position model. The record is from RNAcentral. Lineage: Eukaryota; Dinophyceae; Peridiniales; Peridiniaceae.
AGCAUAUAAGUAAGCGGAGGAAAAGAAACUAAAUAGGAUUCCCUCAGUAAUGGCGAAUGAACAGGGAUGAGCUCAGCAUGGAAAUUGGGGCCUGUGGCCUUGAAUUGUAGUCUGGAGAUGUACCACCAACUGGGGCGCAGAUGUAAGCCUCUUGGAAAAGAGCAUCAAUGAGGGUGAGAGUCCCGCUUGGCAUCUGCAGUCCCCAGUGCACGGUGUACCUUCUAAGAGUCACGUUCCUCGGGAUUGGAGCGCAAAUCGGGUGGUAAGUUUCAUCUAAAGCUAAAUAUUGUUUCGAGACCGAUAGCAAACAAGUACCAUGAGGGAAAGGUGAAAAGGACUUUGAAAAGAGAGUUAAAAGUGCCUGAAAUUGCUGAAAGGGAAGCGAAUGGAAUCAGCGUAACUUGGUGAGAUUGCUGCGUGUCAAUGUGAUUGCUUGCUGCUUCAACGUAAGUGUGGUAGUAAGUCUUGAGCAGGACAUGCGCGGUGCUUCUUGCCUUGUGUGUCACCGUCAGUUCGCAGCUGGGGAAAACUUCAAAGACAUGGUAGCCUGUCUCCGGGCGGGUGAAUGUGUUUGCUGGAACUCAUGUGUGGAUUGCUUGGUGACUAAAUGGUUCCAUCUGACCCGUCUUGARR